Molecule: non-coding RNA, 158 nt
Filed under: Listeria booriae
Lineage: Bacteria; Bacillati; Bacillota; Bacilli; Caryophanales; Listeriaceae
Also listed under: 1 other name
Description: glmS glucosamine-6-phosphate activated ribozyme aptamer
Rfam family: glmS glucosamine-6-phosphate activated ribozyme aptamer
About the family: This entry contains a glucosamine-6-phosphate activated ribozyme that is found in the mRNA for GlmS. GlmS is an enzyme that uses fructose-6-phosphate and glutamine to generate glucosamine-6-phosphate.
Source: Rfam by way of RNAcentral
AACUAAAUAGAAGCGCCAGAACUAAGUAUUGCUUAGUUGACGAGGAAGGGAUUAAUCGAAAAUUCGGCGGGAGUCCCUCGGUUGUACAUGCAAUCGUAAUGCCUUUGCUACAAACCAUUAGGGUGACCUAGUGAACAGAGUGGAAAGGAACAUGUUUU